RNAcentral lists this ribosomal RNA (211 nucleotides) under uncultured Lactobacillus sp. RNAcentral's name for it is "partial 16S ribosomal RNA". It matches the Rfam family "Bacterial small subunit ribosomal RNA", at positions 155 to 354 of the family's 1533-position model. The record is from RNAcentral. Lineage: Bacteria; Bacillati; Bacillota; Bacilli; Lactobacillales; Lactobacillaceae.
AAGAAUAGCUAAUACCGGAUAACAACAAGAUGAUGCCUAUCAACUGUUUAAAAGUAAUGGUUCUGCUAUCACUCUUGGAUGGACCUGCGGUGCAUUAGCUAGUUGGUAGGGUAACGGGCCUACCAAGGCGAUGAUGCAUAGCCGAGUUGAGAGACUGAUCGGCCACAUUGGGACUGAGACACGGCCCAAACUCCUACGGGAGGCAGCAGGU